This 320-nucleotide ribosomal RNA is filed under the name uncultured eukaryote. RNAcentral describes it as "partial 18S ribosomal RNA". It matches the Rfam family "Eukaryotic small subunit ribosomal RNA", at positions 1470 to 1796 of the family's 1831-position model. The record is from RNAcentral.
CCCUUAGAUGUUCUGGGCUGCACGCGCGCUGCACUGACAUACUCAGCAAGUUUCCUUGCCUGAAAGGGUUGGGUAAUCUUGUUAGUGUAUGUCGUGAUGGGGAUAGAAUAUUGUAAUUAUUGCUCUUUAACGAGGAAUUCCUAGUAAGCGCAAGUCAUCAGCUUGCGUUGAUUACGUCCCUGCCCUUUGUACACACCGCCCGUCGCUCCUACCGAUUGGGUGAUCCGGUGAAUGAUUCGGACUCUGGCUAUGCUAGCUACUAGCUACGUCAGGGAAAGUUUUGUGAACCUUAUCACUUGGAGGAAGGAGAAGUCGUAACA